AGAGUUUGAUCAUGGCUCAGAUUGAACGCUGGCGGCAGGCCUAACACAUGCAAGUCGAGCGGUAGCACAGAGAGCUUGCUCUCGGGUGACGAGCGGCGGACGGGUGAGUAAUGUCUGGGAAACUGCCUGAUGGAGGGGGAUAACUACUGGAAACGGUAGCUAAUACCGCAUAAUGUCGCAAGACCAAAGUGGGGGACCUUCGGGCCUCAUGCCAUCAGAUGUGCCCAGAUGGGAUUAGCUAGUAGGUGGGGUAACGGCUCACCUAGGCGACGAUCCCUAGCUGGUCUGAGAGGAUGACCAGCCACACUGGAACUGAGACACGGUCCAGACUCCUACGGGAGGCAGCAGUGGGGAAUAUUGCACAAUGGGCGCAAGCCUGAUGCAGCCAUGCCGCGUGUGUGAAGAAGGCCUUCGGGUUGUAAAGCACUUUCAGCGGGGAGGAAGGCGUUAAGGUUAAUAACCUUGGCGAUUGACGUUACCCGCAGAAGAAGCACCGGCUAACUCCGUGCCAGCAGCCGCGGUAAUACGGAGGGUGCAAGCGUUAAUCGGAAUUACUGGGCGUAAAGCGCACGCAGGCGGUCUGUCAAGUCGGAUGUGAAAUCCCCGGGCUCAACCUGGGAACUGCAUUCGAAACUGGCAGGCUAGAGUCUUGUAGAGGGGGGUAGAAUUCCAGGUGUAGCGGUGAAAUGCGUAGAGAUCUGGAGGAAUACCGGUGGCGAAGGCGGCCCCCUGGACAAAGACUGACGCUCAGGUGCGAAAGCGUGGGGAGCAAACAGGAUUAGAUACCCUGGUAGUCCACGCCGUAAACGAUGUCGAUUUGGAGGUUGUGCCCUUGAGGCGUGGCUUCCGGAGCUAACGCGUUAAAUCGACCGCCUGGGGAGUACGGCCGCAAGGUUAAAACUCAAAUGAAUUGACGGGGGCCCGCACAAGCGGUGGAGCAUGUGGUUUAAUUCGAUGCAACGCGAAGAACCUUACCUGGUCUUGACAUCCACAGAACUUAGCAGAGAUGCUUUGGUGCCUUCGGGAACUGUGAGACAGGUGCUGCAUG
This 1048-nucleotide ribosomal RNA is filed under the name Klebsiella pneumoniae BIDMC 4. Its description in RNAcentral is "bacterial SSU rRNA". It matches the Rfam family "Bacterial small subunit ribosomal RNA", at positions 8 to 1047 of the family's 1533-position model. RNAcentral also lists the same sequence under 1 other name. Lineage: Bacteria; Pseudomonadati; Pseudomonadota; Gammaproteobacteria; Enterobacterales; Enterobacteriaceae. The record is from RNAcentral.